Molecule: ribosomal RNA, 322 nt
Filed under: Protaspa sp.
Lineage: Eukaryota; Cercozoa; Thecofilosea; Cryomonadida; Protaspidae
Description: SSU rRNA
Rfam family: Eukaryotic small subunit ribosomal RNA (bases 106-322)
Source: RNAcentral
GAUUUCUGGUCUGGUGCGCCUGGCCCGCCGCUCUUAGCGUGUGAGUGCCGGGUCGCGCCUGCCAUCCUUCUAGAGAACGUAUCUACCCUUCACUGGGCCGGAUAUCGCGAUCUAGAUCUUUUACUUUGAAAAAAUUAGAGUGUUUAAAGCAGGCUAUUGCUAUGAAUACAUUAGCAUGGAAUAAUAAUCUAGGACUUCGGUUCUAUUUUGUUGGUUUCUAUAACUGAAGUAAUGAUUGAUAGGGAUAGUUGGGGGUGCUAGUAUUGGCCGGUCAGAGGUGAAAUUCUUGGAUUCGGUCAAGACUAACUUAUGCGAAAGCAUU